Molecule: long non-coding RNA, 292 nt
Organism: Corticium candelabrum
Lineage: Eukaryota; Metazoa; Porifera; Homoscleromorpha; Homosclerophorida; Plakinidae
Exons: 3
Source: RefSeq, a predicted model, not a curated record
AGAUGAUGGCAUCGAUUUUUCUGAGAAACGCUUUGUGGAGAUGGAUGAAGUUUCUACGUGUACAAAAACAGACAGAACAUAUCAAUUAGGCAAUGGCAAUGAUUAUAUAGAGACUUCAGAAGGAUCAACAGGUGGCUUGUUAGGAACAAGUAGACAACACAUACAAAGAAGAAAGAGAGCGUUAGAUAAUUACAUCAAAUCAGCAGAGAAGCAAAUGUACAAGCAUUCCAAAAGCAAACGGGCGAAACUACAACCAUAUGCAGUGGGUGACUAUGUCACUGUUAGAAUUCCC